GACGAACGCUGGCGGCGUGCUUAACACAUGCAAGUCGAACGGAAAGGCCCUGCUUUUGUGGGGUGCUCGAGUGGCGAACGGGUGAGUAACACGUGAGUAAUCUGCCCUUGACUUUGGGAUAACUUCAGGAAACUGGGGCUAAUACCGGAUAGGAGCUCCUGCUGCAUGGUGGGGGUUGGAAAGUUUCGGCGGUUGGGGAUGGACUCGCGGCUUAUCAGCUUGUUGGUGGGGUAGUGGCUUACCAAGGCUUUGACGGGUAGCCGGCCUGAGAGGGUGACCGGCCACAUUGGGACUGAGAUACGGCCCAGACUCCUACGGGAGGCAGCAGUGGGGAAUAUUGCACAAUGGGCGGAAGCCUGAUGCAGCAACGCCGCGUGCGGGAUGACGGCCUUCGGGUUGUAAACCGCCUUCGCCUGUGACGAAGCGUGAGUGACGGUAAUGGGUAAAGAAGCACCGGCUAACUACGUG
RNAcentral lists this ribosomal RNA (468 nucleotides) under uncultured bacterium. RNAcentral describes it as "partial 16S ribosomal RNA". It matches the Rfam family "Bacterial small subunit ribosomal RNA", at positions 28 to 507 of the family's 1533-position model. The record is from RNAcentral.